AUUGAACGCUGGCGGCAUGCUUUACACAUGCAAGUCGAACGGCAGCACGGGAGCAAUCCUGGUGGCGAGUGGCGAACGGGUGAGUAAUACAUCGGAACGUGCCCAAUCGUGGGGGAUAACGUAGCGAAAGCUACGCUAAUACCGCAUACGAUCUACGGAUGAAAGCGGGGGAUCGCAAGACCUCGCGCGAAUGGAGCGGCCGAUGGCAGAUUAGGUAGUUGGGGGGUAAAGGCUCACCAAGCCUUCGAUCUGUAGCUGGUCUGAGAGGACGACCAGCCACACUGGGACUGAGACACGGCCCAGACUCCUACGGGAGGCAGCAGUGGGGAAUUUUGGACAAUGGGCGCAAGCCUGAUCCAGCCAUUCCGCGUGCAGGAUGAAGGCCUU
This 387-nucleotide ribosomal RNA is filed under the name uncultured bacterium. Its description in RNAcentral is "bacterial SSU rRNA". It matches the Rfam family "Bacterial small subunit ribosomal RNA", at positions 30 to 418 of the family's 1533-position model. The record is from RNAcentral.